UACGGGGGGGGCAAGCGUUACUCGGAAUUACUGGGCGUAAAGCGUGCGCAGGCGGUUGUGCAAGACCGAUGUGAAAUCCCCGGGCUUAACCUGGGAAUGGCAUUGGUGACUGCACGGCUAGAGUGUGUCAGAGGGGGGUAGAAUUCCACGUGUAGCAGUGAAAUGCGUAGAGAUGUGGAGGAAUACCGAUGGCGAAGGCAGCCCCCUGGGAUAACACUGACGCUCAUGCACGAAAGCGUGGGGAGCAAACAGG
RNAcentral lists this ribosomal RNA (253 nucleotides) under uncultured bacterium. Its description in RNAcentral is "partial 16S ribosomal RNA". It matches the Rfam family "Bacterial small subunit ribosomal RNA", at positions 524 to 776 of the family's 1533-position model. The record is from RNAcentral.